AUUCCAGCUCCAAUAGCGUAUAUUUAAGUUGCUGCAGUUAAAAAGCUCGUAGUUGGAUUUCGGAUGGGAUUUGCCGGUCCGCCGUUCCGGUGUGCACUGGCCAGUCUCAUCUUGUUGUUGGGGACUAGCUCCUGGGCUUCACUGUCCGGGACUAGGAGCUGACGAGGUUACUUUGAGUAAAUUAGAGUGUUCAAAGCAAGCCUACGCUCUGAAUACAUUAGCAUGGAAUAACAUGAUAGGACUCUGGCUUAUCUUGUUGGUCUGUGAGACCAGAGUAAUGAUUAAGAGGGACAGUCGGGGACAUUCGUAUUUCAUUGUCAGAGGUGAAAUUCUUGGAUUUAUGAAAGACGAACUUCUGCGAAAGCAUUUGUCAAGGAUGUUUUCAUCA
Molecule: ribosomal RNA, 388 nt
Filed under: Tetraselmis sp.
Lineage: Eukaryota; Viridiplantae; Chlorophyta; Chlorodendrophyceae; Chlorodendrales; Chlorodendraceae
Description: partial small subunit ribosomal RNA
Rfam family: Eukaryotic small subunit ribosomal RNA
Source: RNAcentral